This 458-nucleotide ribosomal RNA is filed under the name uncultured bacterium. Its description in RNAcentral is "partial 16S ribosomal RNA". It matches the Rfam family "Bacterial small subunit ribosomal RNA", at positions 338 to 795 of the family's 1533-position model. The record is from RNAcentral.
CCUACGGGUGGCAGCAGUGAGGAAUAUUGGUCAAUGGGCGAGAGCCUGAACCAGCCAAGUCGCGUGAGGGAGUACUGCCCUAUGGGUUGUAAACCUCUUUUGUCGGGGAGCAAAAGCCGGACGUGUCCGGCUGUGAGAGUACCCGAAGAAAAAGCAUCGGCUAACUCCGUGCCAGCAGCCGCGGUAAUUCGGAGGAUGCGAGCGUUAUCCGGAUUUAUUGGGUUUAAAGGGUGCGCAGGCGGAUUUUUAAGUCAGCGGUAAAAUCGUGGGGCUCAACCCCAUCCAGCCGUUGAAACUGGUUUUCUUGAGUGAGCGAGAAGUAUGCGGAAUGAGUGGUGUAGCGGUGAAAUGCAUAGAUAUCACGCAGAACUCCGAUUGCGAAGGCAGCAUACCGGCGCUCAACUGACGCUCAUGCACGAAAGUGUGGGUAUCGAACAGGAUUAGAUACCCUAGUAGUC